This 346-nucleotide ribosomal RNA is filed under the name uncultured bacterium. RNAcentral describes it as "bacterial SSU rRNA". It matches the Rfam family "Bacterial small subunit ribosomal RNA", at positions 982 to 1328 of the family's 1533-position model. The record is from RNAcentral.
UGACAUCUAGUGCNAUUUGUAGAGAUACAAAGUUCCCUUCGGGGACGCUAAGACAGGUGGUGCAUGGCUGUCGUCAGCUCGUGUCGUGAGAUGUUGGGUUAAGUCCCGCAACGAGCGCAACCCUUGUUAUUAGUUGCCAGCAUUAAGUUGGGCACUCUAAUGAGACUGCCGGUGACAAACCGGAGGAAGGUGGGGAUGACGUCAAGUCAUCAUGCCCCUUAUGACCUGGGCUACACACGUGCUACAAUGGGCAGUACAACGAGAAGCGAGNCCUGCGAAGGCAAGCGAAUCUCUGAAAGCUGUUCUCAGUUCGGACUGCAGUCUGCAACUCGACUGCACGAAGCUG